GGGUUUGAUCAUGGCUCAGAUUGAACGCUGGCGGGAUGCUUUACACAUGCAAGUCGAACGGCAGCACGGACUUCGGUCUGGUGUGGCGAGUGGCGAACGGGUGAGUGGUCGUAUCGGAACGUGCUCUGGUAGCGGGGGUACUACGCGAAAGCGUAGCUAAAACCGCAUACGCCCUUCGGGGGAAAGCGGGGGACCUUCGGGCCUCGCACUAGAGCGGCCGAUAUCGGAUUAGCUAGUUGGUGGGGCAACGGCUCACCAAGGCGACGAUCCGUGUAGCUGGUCGGAGAGGACGACCAGCCACACUGGGACUGAGACACGGCCCAGACUCCUACGGGAGGCAGCAGUGGGGAAUUUGGAUACGGGGGAAACCCUGAUCCAGCCAUCCCGCGUGUGCGAUGAAGGCCUUUCGGGUUGUAAAGCACUUUUGGCAGGAAAGAAACGGCACGGGAUAAUACCCCGUGCAACUGAUUUACACUCUGCAGAAUAAGCACCGGCUAACUACGUGCCAGCAGCCGCGGUAAUACGUAGGUAAGCGUUAAUCGGAAUUACUGGGCGUAAAGCGUGCGCAGGCGGUUCGGAAAGAAAGAUGUGAAAUCCCAGAGCUUAACUUUGAACUGCAUUUUUAACUACCGAGCUAGAGUGUAGUCAGAGGGAGGUGGAAUUCGCGUGUAGCAGUGAAAUGCGUAGAUAUGCGAGAACACCGAUGGCGAAGGCAGCCUCCUGGGAUAACACUUAUCGCUCAUGCACGAAAGCGUGGAGCAAACAGGAUUAGAUACCCUGGUAGUCCACGCCCUAAACGAUGUCAACUAGCUUUCGUUGGGGCCUUCGGGCCUUGGUAGCGCAGUCAUCGCGCAGGAAGUUGACCGCCUGGGGAGUACGGUCGCGUGAUUAAAACUGAAUUGACGGGGACCCGCACAAGCGGUGGAUGAUGUGGAUUAAUUCGAUGCAACGCGAAAAACCUUACCUACCCUUGACAUGUCUGGAAUCCCGAAGAGAUUUGGGAGUGCUCGCAAGAGAACCGGAACACAAAGGUAUGGCUGUCGUCAGCUUCAAACGAGAUGCUGGUUAAGUCCCAGAAUGAGCGCAACCCUUGUCAUUAGUUGCUACGAAAGGGCACUGAUGAGAUCGUUGCGACAAACCGGAGGCAGCGAUGACGUCAAGUCCUCAUGGCCUUUGCGGUAGGGCUUCACACGUCAUACAAUGGUCGGGACAGAGGGUCGCCAACUCAUGAGGGGAGCCAAUCCCAGAAACCCGAUCGUAGUCCGGAUCGCAGUCUGCAACUCGACUGCGUGAAGCCUUGGAAUCGCUUAGGGACCGCAGCGAUCAGCAUGUCGCGGUGAAUACGUCUCGGGUCUUGUACACACCGCCCGUCACACCAUGGGAGUGGGUUUUACCAGAAGUAGUUAGCCUAACCGUAAGGAGGGAUUACCAAUGGUAGGAUUCAUGAUCGGGGUGAAGCCCGUGUACAAGGGUAG
RNAcentral lists this ribosomal RNA (1475 nucleotides) under uncultured Bordetella sp. RNAcentral describes it as "partial 16S-23S ribosomal RNA intergenic spacer". It matches the Rfam family "Bacterial small subunit ribosomal RNA". The record is from RNAcentral. Lineage: Bacteria; Pseudomonadati; Pseudomonadota; Betaproteobacteria; Burkholderiales; Alcaligenaceae.